UUUUUCUGUCAUACUAAGGUGAACACUUUUGAUUCCAUAUGAUUUCCUAAGUUAAGCACCUUAAGGCUUUGUUAGUUCUAAGAUCAGGGACCGCUUUGCAAGUCCGAGUUUGGACAGCC
RNAcentral lists this ribosomal RNA (119 nucleotides) under Ichthyophthirius multifiliis strain G5. Lineage: Eukaryota; Ciliophora; Oligohymenophorea; Hymenostomatida. The record is from RNAcentral.